Molecule: non-coding RNA, 31 nt
Filed under: Homo sapiens (human)
Lineage: Eukaryota; Metazoa; Chordata; Mammalia; Primates; Hominidae
Source: RNAcentral
AACACAUAUAUGUGCCCAAGGAUGGUAUGGU